UGCGGGUUGAGAGGGAAGGCGGGCAUCCGAGAGGUAGCGGGAAGCUGGUUAAGCCAUACGGAGGUGGAGAUGAGGGGGCCAGGACUAGCGGCUCCGCGCCAGAGCUUUUGCAUAGCUGCUGCUGUGGCCGCUGAUGGUGGCGGCGGCGGUGCUCAUGAAGGAGGGAGACAGCGGCGGCGGAGGGAGAGAGGGGAGGGGCGAUUUGGCGGCGCA
Molecule: unclassified non-coding RNA, 213 nt
Filed under: Hevea brasiliensis (rubber tree)
Lineage: Eukaryota; Viridiplantae; Streptophyta; Magnoliopsida; Malpighiales; Euphorbiaceae
Source: RNAcentral